GGUCAAGCGCGAGAGUAAGAACUACCCAAGGAGUCAGUACCUUAGCAAAACCUUGCUAUCAGGUGGGCAAUUUCUUACGCGUAAAUAAAAUGCUAUUAAUGAACUAUGCAAGUUUUAUGCUUUAUUAUGCCUAAAUGAGUUAAGCUUUUAUUAUGCUUCACGCUGAGUGAUUUACGCUAUGCUAUUUACGCCUUAUGAGAGUUAUGCUUGUUAUGCUUGAAUGCUUUAUGCUAAUAAGUUUAUGCCUGUGUUUGAUGCUUGCGUCUGUUGGGGGAGGCCUCCCUCAACAGUACGAUGCCGUGUCCGCUGAGGAGGGCCUUCCUCACGGCGUGAUGCUCGUGUCCGCUGAGGGAGGCCUCCCUCGCGGCGCGAUGCCAGUAUGCCAGUGUUCCAGCGUCCGUUGGGGGAAACCACCAUCGACGGUACGAUACUAGCGUCUAUUGGGGGAGGCCUCCCUCAAUAGUACGAUGCCGUGACCGCUGAGGGAGGCCCCCCCUCACGGCGCGAUGCCCGUGUUCGUUGGGGAAGGCCUUCUCCACGACACGAUGCGUGUUAUGAUUGUUGAUGAUGAUGAAGAAUGCGCUCAUGCUGUUUAUGAAUUUGGAAAUGUUUAAUGAGCAAAGGAUUUGAAAGAAAUUUAUGCCUCUUAUGCGAUGCUGUGUUUUGUUAUUGAUGUUAAGUUUAUGCUUUAGUUUUGGCAACUGCCCACUAAGUAGUUUUGGCAACUGCCCACUAAGUACUUUUGUACUUAGCCCUACGUUGUUUAUGUUUGUGCAGGUUGAGCUGUGAUGGGCGAUGAAGUGUUGCUGAGUGGAGUUUUUGUUGAACUUAAAGUAGGCUCAGAAAGGAUACAUGUCUUCAUACAUGUAUCUCAGUUAUGCAUUCCGCUGUAAACACUGAUUAUUUCAGUUACGCCUUCCGUUGCAAACUCUGAUAAUGUUUUAGCCAGGCCCCUAACGAUGCCUUUUCCUUUUAAGGAACAUAACGCGUAU
Molecule: long non-coding RNA, 992 nt
Filed under: Salvia miltiorrhiza (redroot sage)
Lineage: Eukaryota; Viridiplantae; Streptophyta; Magnoliopsida; Lamiales; Lamiaceae
Description: long non-coding RNA (SMIL_LNC000873)
Source: RNAcentral